CCUACGGGUGGCAGCAGUGAGGAAUAUUGGUCAAUGGGCGCGAGCCUGAACCAGCCAAGCCGCGUGAGGGAUGAAGGUUCUAUGGAUCGUAAACCUCUUUUAUAAGGGAAUAAAGUGUGGGACGUGUCCUCUUUUGUAUGUACCUUAUGAAUAAGGAUCGGCUAACUCCGUGCCAGCAGCCGCGGUAAUACGGAGGAUUCGAGCGUUAUCCGGAUUUAUUGGGUUUAAAGGGUGCGUAGGCGGCCUUUUAAGUCAGCGGUGAAAGUCUGUGGCUCAACCAUGGAAUUGCCUUUGAAACUGGGGGGCUUGAGUAUGUGUGAGGCAGGCGGAAUGCGUGGUGUAGCGGUGAAAUGCUUAGAUAUCACGCAGAACCCCGAUUGCGAAGGCAGCCUGCCAGGCCAUGACUGACGCUGAUGCACGAAAGCGUGGGGAGCAAACAGGAUUAGAUACCCGGGUAGUC
RNAcentral lists this ribosomal RNA (460 nucleotides) under uncultured bacterium. RNAcentral's name for it is "partial 16S ribosomal RNA". It matches the Rfam family "Bacterial small subunit ribosomal RNA", at positions 338 to 795 of the family's 1533-position model. The record is from RNAcentral.